UACGUAGGGGGCUAGCGUUGUCCGGAAUCAUUGGGCGUAAAGAGCGCGUAGGCGGUCCGAUAAGUCGGCUGUGAAAGUCAAGGGCUCAACCCUUGGAAGCCGGCCGAUACUGUCGGACUAGAGUCCGGAAGAGGCGAGUGGAAUUCCCGGUGUAGCGGUGAAAUGCGCAGAUAUCAGGAGGAACACCGGUGGCGAAGGCGGGUCUCUGGGCCGUAACUGACGCUGAGGAGCGAAAGCGUGGGGAGCGAACAGG
This 253-nucleotide ribosomal RNA is filed under the name uncultured bacterium. RNAcentral's name for it is "partial 16S ribosomal RNA". It matches the Rfam family "Bacterial small subunit ribosomal RNA", at positions 524 to 776 of the family's 1533-position model. The record is from RNAcentral.